This is a transfer RNA of Camelus ferus (Wild Bactrian camel), 72 nucleotides long. It matches the Rfam family "tRNA". Rfam says of the family: Transfer RNA (tRNA) molecules are approximately 80 nucleotides in length. Lineage: Eukaryota; Metazoa; Chordata; Mammalia; Artiodactyla; Camelidae. The record is from Rfam.
GAGGGUAUAGCUCAGUGGGAGAGCACAUGCUUAGCAUGCAGGAGGUCCUGUGUUCAGUCCCCAGUACCUCCU